GUCUUGGAGGUGGCCGGUCCAAAGCUCCUCCUUGACAUUGAUAAUACGGCCAUCCUCCAAAAAGAAAGACCGCUGUCCCUCUUCCUCAGACAUGCCAAGGAUGCUGAUGGUGUCGAUGGCGGGGAUGGCGGCGAUGGCCUUCUGUUGAACCUCCUGCAAGGUACUGGAGAAGGAGCCAGGUUUGCCCUGUUUAAGAUGGCUGAUGGAGACGUGGACUCCCAGGGAGAUGGGGAGUAGCGCCUGCUCCCGCCACAGGACGAUGUCAGCUUCAACACCGUCCUGCUUCAAUAAAGAAGUGGUUCUUUCCCCCUGAUGCUGUAUAUGCCAUACUGCCUAAUGAUGUGAUCCAGAAGGCCUAGUUAUUUUCCUUUUCAAUGGCAUGUCGUUCCUAAUUGUGUUCCCUGUUCCAAUUUGUUCUUCCAGUUCUGCCUGUUUAUUUUAUUUAUUAGUUGUAUAGUUUAUUAGGUAUAUUAUAGUAGUGUAGUUAGUUGUAUCGUUUUUUUUUCUAUGUCUGUUUAUUUAAUCGUUCAGUAGUAUUCUUAUGUAGUAGUUUUUUUUUCAGUAUUACUGUGUUUCUUUGCUUUAUUGCAAUUAAAAUUACAAUAGUAUAAUAAAUUGAAAAAUGUUAGUGAGUAAAUUCAGCGAGUUAGGUAGCUAGUGAAAGUAAAAAAUAUUAGCCAACACUCAGUUAGAAUAUCACAUUUACUUAAGUCUCAAUCUCAUUUACCAAAAUGUUUGCGUUGCUUGGCAACAGUCGCAAUGCCUAGGCCAGGGGUGUCAAACAGUCUUUGCUAAAUUUGUGCCCCCUGAGCAGAGAUUUUAAAGUGUCAAAAAAAGGCAUUCAUGACACAUUGGUGUCAUGUUCAGCGAAUAGACUUACCUUGAUCAAUGUGAAGAUGUUGUUUCUGUAGAAGUCUGUAAGUAAACAACACGAUACUACCAUUAGUAAUUUUUUGUUAUCUGGUGUCCUACCA
This is a long non-coding RNA of Osmerus eperlanus (European smelt), 974 nucleotides long. RefSeq lists it as uncharacterized. NCBI's taxonomy places the organism in Eukaryota, Metazoa, Chordata, Actinopteri, Osmeriformes, Osmeridae. The transcript is spliced from 4 exons. The record is from RefSeq and is a predicted model, not a curated record.